Molecule: small RNA, 27 nt
Filed under: Bombyx mori (domestic silkworm)
Lineage: Eukaryota; Metazoa; Arthropoda; Insecta; Lepidoptera; Bombycidae
Description: ovarian small RNA-9974
Source: RNAcentral
AAACGAUGGAAUUUACUUGCCCUAACC